UGCUGUAGCUGUUGGAAAGGCAUAGGUUUGCAAAACUGAAGAUGUAGGUUCGAAUCCUACCAGUACC
RNAcentral lists this transfer RNA (67 nucleotides) under bovine gut metagenome. It matches the Rfam family "tRNA". Rfam says of the family: Transfer RNA (tRNA) molecules are approximately 80 nucleotides in length. Their secondary structure includes four short double-helical elements and three loops (D, anti-codon, and T loops). The record is from RNAcentral.